AUGACUAAGAGCUCUCCUCAAUGUAUGCAGGUACUGCCCAGACCGUAAAGAAGCUAAUUGAUGUUAAUAUACAGUUAUAUCUUUCUGAAUUUAUUUUGAGGGCAAAUGCUCGAGUCGCCGAGUAAAUGUCCAACUCGGUCUGUUUUCAGUGCACAUAUAUCAUUUCCUCAAUUUGAUGGAAAUUAGCGGCCACUUCAAUUUUCUUGUCUGCAUUUUCUUUGCAAUCAGCAAGGAAACCUAGGACAGAUGUACAUUUCCUCAUGUGAAUUCUAGUCCCUAGAUUGUUUGUGGCUUUGGGCAAUAUAAAGAAUUGGAGAAGUUUGCUAUAUAGGUUUGGAUAGAAUAUCAUAGCUGUAUCUACAACUGCUUAAUCUUUAAUUUGUAGUUGAAAUUCUGCACACAUCUCUCUGUAUUUGUUCACCUUAUCCGCUAUCAUGCACCAUAACUUUAUAAAUGAAAAUAUCCUAGUAAAGUUUCGACAGCACUAACUUUCCAAAAAUAUACAGUUUCUGUAUAUCAAGGUUGUCUUCCAGUGAUUCGCUCCUUGUUCAAGUGCUGGCAUACAUAAACUUAAACCACAAAAAAAUGUGUACACAUGUGUAUAGCUCUAAACAUAAAAAGCCUUUAGAAUCAUGCGUAGCUUUACAAAAUGCCGGACUGGAUUCUGAAUAUGCUAGAUAAUACCAUCUUCCACACAUGGUAAUAUGUUGUACCGCACCACUGUAUACACAAGUGUGUAAUUUUUUGGGUGGCUUCCUCCACCAAAACAAAAGGCUUGUGCACGACUGAUGCUAUCCAACUAGACUGUGUAAUAAUCACUGCUGAUUUUGCAUGACAGUGGGUUGUCACAGAUUUGCAACAGAGCUGAGCAGUCGUGUAGCGUCGCUGGUUCGUGUUCAUUAGUGUCAGGUUAUGGUAGCCGUUGGCAUGUUUCUUGGUGCGGUAUGCAUCUCCUCCCACCACGGCGGUCGACAACCAAGUCUAGCCGCCAUAACUCUUUAGUAUCACCCCCUCUCUCCGAUUUACAUGAGUGUGUGUCAAUUUAUUCUCCCAUGGCAAGUCUCUGUCCAUGUUAGGUUACAUUAGUAAGAAAUUUAGUUAUCUGAAUUUAGGUAGGUAAUUUAUAUUUAGUAUCUCCAUGAACUCACUCACGAUAUAGAUAAUAUUUUGGAUUGAAGUAAUGAUGUAAACUGCAACUAUACAAACCAAUACAUGUAGUUCAGGUCGAAAUUCGAAGGUGGUGUUACACCUUGGCUAAAUUUUUGUGUAUGCUGCUAACUUUAGGAUUGUUUUACACUAUUCUUUGUUGUAAACAAACCAGGUAAUGUCGUGAAAUCCAAGAGUUUUUCAGAUUUCUAUUUACGGCAUGAUUUACCUCCAAUUCUUUGCAUGCGCGGUUUUCAUUUUGAUGACUCUCAGCUGCCAGACAAAAUAGAGAAUGUUGCUGUAAAAUGCAUGACAACCAUAUACUCCCUCUAUUCCCAAAUAUUUGUCUUUCUAGACAUUUUAAAUGGACUACAACAUACGGAUGUAUGUAGACAUAUUUUAGAAUGUAGAUUCGCUCAUUUUGCUUCGUAUGUAAUCACUUGUUAAAAUCUAUAAAAAAGACAAAUAUUUGGUAACGGGGGGAGUAAAUAGUGACUGCAUGUUGUUUUAAUCAAUCCAUUUUUCUAUUGUAGCAACACUUUAUUGUUAUCCUAGUUGUGCGAUAAUUUACCGUUUCUAUGAAUCAAUUUCAGGUGCUCCUUUUUAUCAUGAUUACAUCAUGUGGUAGCCUGCUUUUUAAGGUAUUUAAGUUUUGAUGCUAUGUACUCCCUCCGUGUCCAAAAAUAAAUCUUUUUAGAGAUUCCAAUAUAGAUUACAUAUGGAACAAAAUGAGUCACUCUAAAAUAUGUCUAUACAAAUCCGUAUGUAGUUCAUAGGGAAAUCUCUAAAAAGACUUAUAUUUAGAAACGGAGGGAGUAAUUCAUAUGCAUUGGAUGGUGUGUGAACAACUUUUAAUCUUGAUCUCUUUUAUUUCAUGCUUAUCCAAUUGUAGCUCGCACAGUUUGAUACACGGCAUGGUUUAGGUUGCAUUGAAACGGUAGUUACAGAGCUCGGCCUCUUUGUCUUGUUUCUCUGUUUACUAUUGAUUCAUACAUGUAGCCAGCGUGUUCAUGUGAUUUCUUGUACGUCCAAACUUCGCUUGCUAUAUAUUUGAUAUUGAUUCUUUUUCAGCUUAAGGUAGUAAAGCCCCAGUCUACCUUCAAGUGUGAUUCAUAUGUUCUUGUUUGUUCGUGGUCUCUACCUGUUUGUUCUUCUGAGAACUAAACAUAUUAUGUUUCUUCAGGUCUCUAUUCAAGUGGAUGACGGGAAAUGUAUGAGGGAUAGAGAGGAAUAAGUUUUCUGGAACACGUCUUUGUAGUGUAUGGUGGGUACAAGUAAUGUUAGAUUCAAAAUUUAGAGCUUUUGCCAAUAAUAAGUAGCAAAAUUCAGGAUUGCUGAGAAGGGAGGUGAACCUAAUGGCUUCAGUACUAUUGUUACGAUACUAUGUUGCUUCCAGGCUAUCGAUGAGAAUAGUUCAGUCGCUUUAGAGAUUGUUGAACAUAUGAAAUUGAUUGUAAUCUCUGGGCACCCUCAAGUUAAGCUGCUUGAAGACCAAGUUCAAAUAUGUGUGAGGGCAGUGUGGUUGGGCAUGCGAGUCAAUUGCACCUGAUGUAAUCAGACCAUUAGAUCUGUUUUGAAAUAGUGAUC
Molecule: long non-coding RNA, 2733 nt
Filed under: Triticum aestivum (bread wheat)
Lineage: Eukaryota; Viridiplantae; Streptophyta; Magnoliopsida; Poales; Poaceae
Description: long non-coding RNA (TAES_LNC025084)
Source: RNAcentral